Molecule: long non-coding RNA, 685 nt
Organism: Podarcis muralis (Common wall lizard)
Lineage: Eukaryota; Metazoa; Chordata; Lepidosauria; Squamata; Lacertidae
Source: RefSeq, a predicted model, not a curated record
UAGAGACACUCCUCCCAACCAGCAGCCCCAAAAAUGUGACUUAAGCAAGUCAUACGACGUUCACUAUCUGGGAAACAUCCGGAGUAGGUUGGCACCCACCCAACCACCCAGGUCUGCAACUAGAGGACAUCCCAAUAUCAAUAACUGGUACCUGAAAUAAGAAAGGUCAUCGCCAGCAGUCCUUGCAGCACAACUGUUGCAGCUCUCCAUCUCAAUGCGACACCCUCCAUGGUCUGAAGCCGAGAGGCUCUCUGAGCCAAAGAACCAAUUUCCUGAUGAGUCGUGGAGGAAAAGGAAAAGGAGUCCACGAACUGACUUCCAGUCUCCAAACCUGCCUGGAGGAGAUGCUUUUAGGAUUUCCAGUUCCUUCUGCCCAUUUCGUCCGUUUUCAGACAAAUCUCGCUGUGAACUGUAAGGUGGAGGAUGGGAGGAACUGUCAAAAACAGCUUGCUGCUCAAAACCUCCCUUACCUCUCCCUGGCUCAGUGCCCUGUGCUGGGGAACCGCCCACCAGGCCUAAAUCCAGCUUUGACAACGGACUUCAGCCAACAGACUAUGAAAACAAGACUUGUUAGAGGCGAAACGUUUCUGCCCAGAAAAGUGAAGAAAAUGUGCAUGCACACAGCUGGUAUUUAGAUAUAACUGUGUUGGCUGAGGAUCAAUAAACUUUGUUGGAAUCCUUGGAA